RNAcentral lists this long non-coding RNA (424 nucleotides) under Dermacentor andersoni. RNAcentral's name for it is "uncharacterized LOC126538268". Lineage: Eukaryota; Metazoa; Arthropoda; Arachnida; Ixodida; Ixodidae. The record is from RNAcentral.
UGUAUCUUGUACUGGAGGCGCAAUGCUAAAGAGACAGCGAAGCUGAUGAACACCUAGCUGGCUUUUGGGCUAGGCUAAGCACUACCAAGUCAAUCCCAGGAUUUUCCGGAGUUUAUUGAUCGAUUAUCUAUUGCUUGGCUAUCGCAAGGAAUUGGCCACGUAUUUGGGCUAGGCUAAGCACUACCAAGUCAUCCCCAGGAUUUUCCUGAAUUUUCCGGAUUAGCUAUUGAUUGGCUGUCGAUAACUGACUGUGCUUAAGUAGUCCCAACUAUACUUAGCUAGACUUAGCCAGGCUCAGCUUCGCUAGUUCACAGGAGUAUGUGCCAUUGCGCUUCGACCCUUUCUGCACUACCGCCAGGAUCAGUCCACAUUUUUGGAUUCAGCAGACACAUUACGCCUGGCUUAAACAGCUCCGCUAUUAAAA